AAAAUGUUAGUAUUUAGUAUUUUAUCAUUUCAAGGUAGUCGGCAUUUUGCAUUUUGCAUUUUAUGGGAAAUUAAACACCCCCUAGCACAACCAAAUCGUCAACUCCCAACACUGCAGGCUUGAUGGAGCAUCAUUACCACGCUUCGGUUGAAGCUAAGAGCUGCAAAGCAUUUGCCAGUGCCAUUACCACCACCAUUUCAUGUUGCAUGGCUUGACCGGUCGUAAGAGUCCCAUGCACGUCGCAACUCGCACAGGCAUUGCUCUUGCUCGCGGUGCCAUGAUUGCGCCUUUCACAAACUCAUAGUUGAUCAAUUGGAGCACUUGCGAUUAUUGAAUCAUUAUUGUACUACCAUUUAGUAUGAGAUUUGAAAUUUACUUAAUUUAAUUGGAUAAAUAACAGGCCAUAUCUAAUUAAUUAAGUCCAAGAGCUAACAAUUCCAGGCUGUAAUUAAUUGUGCGAGAUGAUGUGUUCCUAGUCCACGAUGACCUUGAGAAGGACAUUGAGGAAGACGAAGGCUGCAAACGAGAUCCUAGUUUCCAUAUCUGCCAGGGAUGGGAUUUCGGUGAGCUAGCUUAAAUAUAGAGUAUUAUGGCAUCUAGAAAUUAACAAUAAUACAGCAAUGCUUUACAGCACUCAAGUGUUUUACAGCAAUUCAACACUCAAUUCCUUUCUGUUCUCUUCCUCUCCCUCUCUUCUUCUCUAACUCUGGCAAGCUUAGAUGAGACUGUGGGAGGCAGGUCGGCCAAAUGGUGGAAACGGCAGGAGGACGACGGUUAGAGUUCCAGCGGUGUAGGAGGCGGUCGAACUAGGUCAGGGCGAGGGCAUCUAUGGCCAUACGACGGUGAGGGGAGGAGAAGAAGAAGGUUGUUGUGGGCGUAAUAGGGUCUCAUCGGAGCUCAAGACCCUACUGCACUGAGGCGGGGCAGUGGACGACGGUAGGGCAUCGGGAGGAGGAAGAGGACGAUGAAGAAAAAAUCAAGUGUUCUCGAGAGCCAAAACACUCAAGCGACAGAUGAUAGAUCCUAAUAUAGAAAUGCAACAAUGUAUCCAAAGUAUGGAGGCACUGCUGUGUUUGUUAUUCCCAUCCUAGAGGUAAUCUUUGGUGUCCACAGGGAGAUAUUUAUUUUGUUCGUGCCUCUCGAGCCUCACCAUAUCAAUUCUAAUUAUGUUUCCGUCUAAUGCUCCGUAUAUAUAAUACGCUAAUAAGAUAGUGAAAUAGACGAAACUGAUCGACACAUUAGGUUUUUUUUACAACAAAUAUUUUUCAUUUGAGCAGCAGGACGCUGCAAUCAGUCUAACAGACUGAAGGUUUACAUCUAUCAGAUGCAUCAGGAAUGGGCACUGAUAGGUAAGGCUCUGAUGAGAGCAUACAUGAUGGAAGAAAGAUUCAACAGGAACAAUAACUGAGAAAGCCUGUCUAUCUAAAGCAUAUGUUGUAUUAUUUAUGUUCCUAUUGAUUUUGAAGAUCAUGGCAUGACAUUGAUCACCUGUGUUCCUGAACAUCUGGGUGAAAAAGGUUUUAUCCUCCAGUCUACAGGAUGUUCUUGGUCAUCUUCAUGUAGGAAUUGUACUAGCUGCUGGUUAUUAGUGAGAAAGGUGGUGUCAGUGAAGUUGAGUCGUUCACUAACAACUGCUGCUAGAGCAAGUGCUACAACUUCCGCCAUGAGGACUGAGUGGACUUCCAAGGCUUGUGCUGUGAUGUAGAUGGUUUGUGUGGUUGUACCUAUGGAUUGACAAAAAAUCCCAAGUCCUAUAGCUAUAUACUGCCUGGUUGGUUGGUCAUACCUUAAGGAGGCAUCAAUGAAGCAUCUGACUCCUUGGAUGAGCUCCAAUAUAGAGAUGAAGUAUUUGUCUGUCUAAGGUGAAGCUCUUGCAUUAGAUGUGAUAAUACCUGGUGAAGUCGGGGUGGCUUGAUUUGUGAGCAUCAUUUUCUAGGGGGUUUGUGCUUGUUGUUCCUCCAUAGGGUGUGAGGUGCAGGUUCCUCCUGUUGGUGCUGCAUGUGAUCAGGUGCAGGCGUCUCCAUCUGUUGAGGUGUGUGGCUGUGAUCCUACGAAGUAAUAGCAAUGGCAGUUUGCGUACCUUGUGCAGUCAUUUGUGGGGGUUGAGGUGGGAUAAGUAGAGUGUCGGUUUGGUGGCUGCUAAUGUGGGCUACGACCACAUGGUGUACCUGCCAUGGAGUCCAAGUUUUUCUGUGAAAUCAAAUAUCAUUCCUAGCUUUCCACAAAUACCAGAAAGUGAUUAGUAAUUUGUUGAAUACAGUAGAUGGGAUGGCGGCGGGGAUGAAGCUUGGUAGGAUUAGUUGCACGCCAUUAGUAUCUUGAGGUAAAUUGUCAGUGCAAAGAAGGGGAUUUGAUGAGAAUACUGUUGUGGGAGGUGAUAGUGGAAGAAUAGGUGGGCAUCAUCCUCCACCACGCCAUAGGAACAUAGUGCUUGUCUAUGUGGGGGAGUAUCUCGCUGCUUGUUUUGUUGUAGCUAGGGCUCUUUUGAUGAGUCUCCAAGUGAAGGAUUUAACUAGAGAUGGUGGCUCCUUACUAUUCCAUUCUCUCUGCAUAAUGGAGUUAGCAUGGGGUCCACCUCAAGAUGUCAUGACCAUCACUAUGAAUAGUUGGUGUUACAGUUAUGACCUGUACAUCCUAAGCAUCAAAGAUGUUAGUGAUGAGGUGAACAUUCGUGUUAUGGGAAUUUGGUUGCUAAAGAUUAGAGAAAUGGUUGGCAUUGGAGAUUGAGUAGCUAGCAGGAUCAUGUGGUCAUGGAUAGAGUUCCGAAUGGGCACCAAGGGGUGGACCAUAUAGAACUGUUACUUGAAUGGAUCUAGUAGACAGAGUUGGAGCGAAGUUUAGUUUUGACCUACAAAAUAGAAGACCAGAAGAUUGAUCUAGGACCAGUGGUGUUGGCUUUCCAAAAGGAGGUGUUGUGGAACUAUUUAGCCUUAAGGACAGAGGUGAGCAUGGGGUUUUUAUUAGUAGCAAUGUUUGCCAAGACCCCCAUUCUUCUUGGGCUAGCAAAUGUCUUCCCAAGACAUGAACGCAAUGGGAGAUGUAGGGUUGUCUUUCUAGACUCUAGUGCACCAAAAUUUCCUGAUUAUAGUGUUGAUUUUACCUAUCAUAGUAUUAGAAAAUAGCACAGUACACAUGUAGUAUACAGGGACCAAAGCUAGGACAGAUUUGAUGUAAGUCAGUCUCCCUGCAUGAUUAAGCUUGUUAGCUUUCACAGUAGUUAACUUAGCUCUAAAUUUUUUAAGAAUAAACUCAUAAACCUUAUUCCGAUCAUUACGAUUAAAAUAAUCAGGUGGCCCAAGGUGCAUGCUAUUAGGAAGGAGGUCAGGGGUAGGAAAGAUGUUCCUGAUAUCAUUUCUAGUGGUCAAAGGCACCUUUUUACUAAAAAGGAUUGAGGACUUCUAAAGAUUGGGAGUUUGCCUAGAGAGGUGGCAAAAGUCUUGUAAAAUGUCCCAGAUUUUGGUGGCUUCAAUGAUGGAGGCCUCGCCACAUAAGAUUAGAUCAUCAACAAAGAGAAGAGAGUGAAUGGGAGGGCAACUAGGACCAAGGGAAAUGCCCAAAAAAUUGGAGUAAUGAGUUCAGUUUGAAGGUGAAUGGAUAGCUCAUUGGUGGCCACAACAAAAAGACAAUGAGAGAGGGGGCAGCCCGGGCGAAUACCAUGAUGGGGAGUGAAGGAGGUGGAAGGCUCUCCAUUGAUAAGGAUGGAGAAAGUAGUAGUGGAAAUACAAGCUUGAAUGAGGUUGGUGAAAUUGGAGGGCAGCCCAAGACGAUUUAGAGAGUCCCAAUUCAGACAAUCAAACGUUUGGCCAGGUCAAGCUUGAGAUAAAAAAGCUUGCUGGUUCCAGUUUUUUAGGUUGGAAGAGAUGUGCCUGUGUUUUGAUGAAUGCAACUUAAGAUUAUUGAGUCAAUCGACAGCAACUUUGGCGUUUAGUAGAACACAGCAUGGUGCCAAGAUGAUACUACGAUGUCAGCAAAAACUUGUGGGAUCCACCAUUUAGUAAACGAUUAAAGAAAUUUUGAUUUCUUUUUUGUCGUUUCUGCACACCUCCAUGCCUACCAUACGUGUACUGUGUUGUUUUCAGUGGCGGAGGCAGCUGGCAAGGUUCGGCCUCCGCCGUACCUAAAAUGUAUAGAAAACACUAGUAUAUUAUGUGUAUAUACGGUUAUACACGUGAAAUAUACAUGGCUUAGCCUCUGCCACUGUGCACGAAUAGAUUUUGUUUGUGGGCUGGUAUCUCGUGGGCUUACACGACUACGAGCCCGUUCGCUUCUUAGCUGUACUUUUUUUCAGUGAUUUUUUUUUGACCAGCGAAUAGGCUCUAUGUCAAAAGCCCACGACACUAUCCAUAGAAGGAAGCAGCUCAUUGGUCUUCCUGCCUUCCUGGCUGGUCGACUACUCCAGGUUUUAGUGGCCGACUUGUUUAGUUUCAAUUUUUUUUAGCAAAAUAGAUACUGUAGCACUUUUGUUUGUAUUUAACAAAUAUUAUUCAAUUAUAGACUAACUAGGCUCAAGAGAUCUGUCUCGCAAAUUAUAGACAAACUGUAUAAUUAGUUAUUUAUUUUAUUUAUAUUUAGUGUUUCAUGCAUGCAGUGGCGGAGGCAGGAUUUUUGCUUGGGAUAUGCCAAACAAAAAGUUUUCAUAUACAAAUCGGUAAAAUCUAUUUAGCAAUUCGGUAGAAUUUUAUAAAAAAAAUGUCUAACAAUUCGGUACACAACUGUUAAGGCCUUGUUUAGUUCCAAAAUGGACAUUGUAGUAUUUUCGUUUGUAUUUAAUAAAUAUUAUCCAAUCAUAGACUAACUAGGCUCAAAAGAUUUGUUUCGCAAAUUACAUGCAAAUUGUGCAAUUAUUUUUUAUUUAUAUUUAAUACUUCAUAUAUGUGCCGCAAGAUUCGAUGUGACAAAGAAACUUUCAAAAUUUUGCUAAUUUUUUGGGACGUAAACAAGGCCUAAAUGGCAUAAGUCGUGCGUCCAUGGUGUGUUUGAAAGGAGCGUCCGAGAGCAGGUGCGAGACGAAUACCGAGGUCUUGUUUAGUUCUUCUAUGGUCUCCAAUGGGAGGGUUAGCUGAUCCACAUUAGUUAACCACUACUCCACAUUGGGCAAAGUGAUUUUGUUAACGCACGUAGCCACGGUAAAUCAUAAUUAAAGAGCCAUCGUGAUCAACUUUCAUUAUGUGAGCUUGAACAAAAUGAUCAACAUCAAGAGUUGGCCUACAAAUAAUUGUAGAGCUUUGCUAAAUUUCCACACCCUUUCUCCCACUCCAAAAAGCCAAAGUGCUCAAUCCUUAAGCAAAUCAUUCCACCAGGAGAACAAAAGCAAUGUUGUGGUGAUCAACAUCAAGGUAUAUCUGUAGAGCUUUGCUUUUACCGGUUAACGUGCAAUAUGAGUGCACAAUUAUGUUUAGGAUAGAUUUAUUAAGCUAAUAUUGUUAUCUAGUGCCACUAGGUGGGGACUAACAAUACACAUGUGUUAGACUCAGUGACAUGGUGAGGAAGCAAGUGAAAACCUUUGAAAAUGCAAACUCAGUGCUAAAGGUGUUAUUGUUCCGUCUGCCACAUUUGGGAGAUAUCAUAUUUGAAAAAGGGUUUAAGAGAGGGGCUUGGUGAGAUGGUUUGAAUAGUCACUAGAUAAGUCCGGUGGUCAUCAGAGCUUAGGCACACCCACUUUACUAGUCUAGUCAUCAGGCUGUCUCACUCUGUAGUGGGCCACCAAAAAUAUCCAUGCCUCUAGGUCCGAGCACUAAAGUUUAGGCUCCUUCACUUUGGGAGAGAAGGGGACGCUGGACACGAGGCAACAAUCGGCAAUGGCUGCAAAGCACACAAAGUUUAGAAGGAUAAAGGAAGACGACUAGAGGAGGUUAAAUAGUCAUUUCUAUAACUAAAUCAUGAAUCCUAGGCAAAUAAAUAACAUUAAUAAACUAUUUGUCACUUCCCACUAUAACAGCAGAAAUAAAACAACAGAGAUAAUCUAUUUUCAUAACAAUACAAUAAAAGGUACAUGACUCAUUAUUUCCAUGAUGAUUCCAUCCCUACCUGCGAGCGUGGAAAGCCUAAAAAGCCUCUCUCCACGGCCUUCCUAAAAAAAGCCCACCUGGCCACCUGUAGUUCAAUAUAAGCUACUGGAGAAGCUAGGCGUUUGGUCCAUCUCGAACCGCUUUUAAAGCUAAACAGCCCAAUAACCCAUUUCAAACAAGGUCGAAGCCCAAUGAGGCAGGUGGCCCAAAACCUGACCCGAUUCUCUCCCAAUUCUUUUUCCUCGUGUUGGAAUCGGAAUUGGAAUUGGAAUUUGUACGUAGUGGCGGCGAUAUCUGGUUCAGAGUGGGUGUUGAUUCGUGGAGAGCAGCUGGUCGGGCCCAUCCGCGCAGUUGGCUUGGCUUGGCCGCUGCCGCCCGUGCUCGCACCGGCCGCCCCACCUCCAUCUUCCCAUGGUGGUGGUAUCAUCCCCCCCCUUUCCUCUUCCUCCUCCCCACGUGCAACCACCUAACCCCUCUCCCACCGCCCUCCUCGCCUAGCCCGCCGCCACAGCGGCCGUCGACGAGCGCCAUGCCCGCCGCGGCGUCCACCUCCGCGACCUCGCUGCUGCUGGGCGGCGGCAGGCUCCCGCGGCUCCAGCUCCAGUCCCUCCGCGCCCCCGCCAAGCCCCCCUUCCGCCGCCCGGCCUCGUCCCCGUCCACACCGCUCCCCAGAUGCCGCGCCAGCGCGAGCCCCCGCCCUCUGGGCCCCGUCUCCGCCUCCGCCCUCGCGCUGCCCGUGUCGGUGACGGCCGCUCCCCCACCGCAGGUGGAGGAUGGUGGCUGGGUGGGAGGCGCGGCCGCGGCCGCGGCCGUGAGGAGAGUAGCUGUGGCGGUGGCGUGCGGGGCGCUCGCGGCGGCGUGGUGCCGCCGGGCGAUGGCUGUGGGGGCGGCCACGGCGGCGGGAGCGGGAGCGGGGGCCGGGGCCGGGGCGACGGGGGCGGUGGAAGCUGCCGCGGGGAUUGGAGGGAUGGCGCUGCACGGGGGCUGGCCGAGAGUGCUGCAGAUUCUGCAGCUGCUCAGGGAGCAGGGCCUGGUUCUGGCCGCGCUGCUCGGCCUCUCUGCGUUCUUCUCCAUGGCAGAAACUUCUAUCACGACGCUUUGGCCUUGGAAGGUGCGUUCAGCAAGUCUACGGAGACCCAUUUUCUUAAACUCCUGUUGUUGCCAUAGUAAUUACUGUACGUACGCGAAAUGAACUAUGCUUCCAGUUUUGCAAUCGGUUUGGUUCACUGAGCUACGAGGUAGGAUAUUGGGAGAUUUUUGGAUACUUAGAUGAGCAGAUUGGUAUUGGUGUAGUGUUGCUGCUAAGAGGGGAUGCUGAGAUGGGGUGAGUGUCUUAUGGGUACGUCCUUGUAUCAACUACUAUACUCAUUCUAAAUGGGUUUAUGCAAUGAGUAUUUGUAUGAACAAAGCAAACGGAUACGCACUAGCUUAGGCUGUUGGGUUGGGCUGUGGCAUGUGUGGGUCGAGGAUGUGGCGGUUGUCAUGCACAUCCUGCUUCAGCAGUGAUGUGAUAAUUUUGUCUCGCUUGCUGAUGACAUAAUCCACAGCACAAGUUUGUAUUUGAGAAGUGAUGUCACUGCUGGGAGUGUUGCUGAAAGACAUGGGGAAAGCAUUAUUGCUCCUUCCUUUUUUUUGUAGGAUAGAGGGCUGAGCAGCAGGCAUAACUGAUUGACAAGCUGACAACAGCAAGGUGCUUCAGAUAUAAUGACAGUGUGCACAUGCGCUUUAGUGACAUGUUGUGCUAGUGAUCUGUAGGAGAAUUAGGCAGGGAAUCUAUGCAAGGAAAGUUUUUAUUAUUUUGAAACUGGAACUAAUGACACUGGUAUUGGAUUACCGGUCUUACUGACUUUAUAUAUAAUCUCCCUUCACACCUAAUCUCAUCAACUGGAUAGGUAUUUCUGGUUCAGAAUAUUUAUAGCUUUGAACAGAACAUUGGUGCUCUUGUAACUAUCAUUAAAGGGGUCCUGCCUCUUUGUUCAUGUUUAUCAACAUUUAAAUUCAAUUCUAAUUCUUCAAAGACUACAACAAGGUGAUCAAUGUAAAUUGAUGGCUGGAUUCGGUUAAUCACAUGUUGAACUUGCAUUUUAUUUUUAGUAGAGGUUUAUUUGCAAGCACAGGAAUAAUGAAGCCCUAGGUUUAGUGCAUUUUUUCCCUCCAGAGUUGAGCCUAAGGAUUCAAGUUCACUGACACUUAUCAUUGUGGGUUCAAGCAUUUGCACACAUAUUAGCAUAUUGAAAUGGCUAAAGUAUUAGAGGUUGGUGCUAGAGUCUUUCCAUAACAGCGCACUUGGGACUGAAGUUUGAUUCAUGCAAAAUUUUUCAAUUGAAUCAUGCUUGAUGUUCAAAAACUAGCAAGAAUCAUAGAAAUAGCAACACUGUAUUGUGUAAUAGGUUGCAUACCUUUUCCCCCUUUGCAUUUGUUUAUUUUUCUAACGUUGUUUGGAAAUUGCCACAUCAAGGCCUAAUUUUCUAGUGAUCUGCCUAGCGCCCAAUAGCUAGCUAGCCUCUCUACUCAAGCAUUGAGGCAUCACCCCCUUCUACCCACCUAGGGCAUUUUCAGAUCAGUGUUUUGAAACUUUGCUUCGUAGUGGUACUCUUUUCUUAUUGUAACUGACUGUAUGCUGAGAGCGAAUAUCUAUAUGCUGAGACUUUGCUGAUUUCUUUUUUCCUUUGCAUUAGGUUCGUGAACUAGCUGAGAAGGAACCUGAGAAUGGUGUUUUCAAAAUGCUCCGAAAUGACGUCACUCGUUUCCUGACAACUAUUCUCAUUGGCACAACGUAAUCCAUGGCAUUUCUAAGUUGUGCAUCACUCAUUGCAAUUUUGUUUUACUAACCCUAAACCCUAAUCUCGGGCAUAAUUUGUAUGAAAUAGUGUGGUCAACAUUGGCGCAACAGCAAUUGUUACUGAGGCAGCAACAGCAAUGUUUGGUGAAGCAGGUGUUAGUGCAGCAACAGGUGUCAUGACAGUAUGUCUCCUGUCUCAUACUGGCCUUCUGCUCUUGUGUAAGUGUUCUUUAAUCUAACUAUGGAGCACCAUUUUUUAGGUUGCCAUCUUACUUCUUACAGAGAUCACUCCCAAAAGUGUUGCAGUCCAUAAUGCCACCGAGGUCGCUAGGUUUGUGGUAAGGUGAGAGAUAUCAAGUAUAACUUAGUUUCAAACAUGUUUAUUUUGAGUACUGAACAUUGUGCAUUUGUUGCGAUAUAUCAGACCGGUCGCAUGGCUUUCGCUGAUCCUCUAUCCAGUUGGGCGGAUUGCUACUUUUCUGUCUAUGGGAAUGCUAAAGAUUCUAGGCCUGAAAGGGAGAAGGUAAGACUGUAAGAGUAUGUAUAAUACUCUAGUUCUUGAUCAACUAGAAGAUAAAUUCUUUGAAAAUAUGCCAACUCAAUAAGCUCAUGUUAGUCAUAGAUUAUAUCCCCCAUUAGUUAUGAUAUGCUUUCAAGAAGGAUACACAAACAAUAAAUUAAUUCAUGCCACAAGAACCACACAGAACUCUUUUUUAAGAGCAUAUGGCUUGCUCUGCGUAGUGGAUAUAACCAGGGAAGCACAAGGAUUGAGUUUCUAGGUGUGUGUGGGUUCUGCUCAGGUGGGCAACUCUAGCUUCAUCCAUCUGUAUCUUUUUCUUGAUGAAAUGGCAUGCAGCUCUUUUGCGUCAUUCGAGAAAAAAUAACCAGGGAAGCACACUGAUUGAGUUCCUGGUUCCUGCCAAAUAAAAUCUCACCUGUUUUCUUUUAAAAAUGGAUUAAACUUGUAUAUUACUAGAAUUCAAGUACAAAUGAGAUGGUACAACAUGGACUAGAUUAGACUAGUUUGAGUAUGUGUUGAGUCUAGUUUAUAGGGUGAUAGUUGUACUUUCUAAAAUUUCUAUAAUUAGUAAAUAGUGCAGUGACUAUAUUUUUAAUCAAUAGAUGACCGUUGACACUAUUCCAAGAAUUGCAUAUCAUCUGUUAUUGUUCAUGAAGGAUCUAAUUCUAGUUUGAAUUUGCUAGAAACUUAUUGAUUGCUUUCUGUAUAAUUUAGUUUACAAAUUGAAUUUAGUAUCUGAUAUUGUAAUACAAUACACAUUUGUAUGUUAUUUUUUGCAUUUUUUUUACAAAAUCCAGUACUCAAGUACAUUGAUUUGCUAUGUCUUUUAGUUACUACAUUUGUAUAUGUUUAACCAAUAUACAAUUGAGAUUCCUAUAUAGAUAAGAUUUAGUUUUUCUUUUUCAUAACUCUUGACAUUUCUGGAGAUCUACUUCUGAAUCUUGUGCAUCAUAUACACUUCUUUCCUCAGUGAACCAUAUGUUACUGAAGAUGAACUGAAGUUAAUGUUACGAGGAGCAGAGUUGAGUGGUGCAAUUGCAGAAGAUGAACAGGUUAGACAAUCUAGUAUAUGGAGAUGCCCAUAUAUUGUGCUGCAUAUUUCCUUCUUUAUUCUUUAUGUUUCUGUGUACCUCACAGCAAGAUUUUGUUAUCCAGUGCAAUCUAGGCAAAGCCUUUACUUACAAUUUUUAUAUCAUAUAGAAAGCUGACUACUUACAUAAAUAAAGAGUGAAUUAAUGAAAUUUCAGGAAAAUAGUAACUAACGUUUUUGCAUGAUUUUAACUGCUAAUUUAAUGUUUGUACACCAUCUCAUCACAUAUAUCCAGAAUUUGAAAAGCAGUAUGGCCCCAAAGGUUUGAGUUAGAUUAUACUGUUGCAGACUAGGAUUUUGCCUCUUGAUAGUUUACUAGCACACUUUGGCUACUUCUUUGUUUUCUUGAAAACGCAGGAGAGCUGCACUUCAUUAUAUUAAGAGGAUAAAGGGCAAGAGCCCGAACAACCCCACAAACACCAUACACACACCACACACAUCACACACUCACGCCCCAACAGAAAUGUUACAUUCGCGCCCGUAAGAAAACACACAACGCGACCACUACUAGGCUAAACAUUUCUAACUAUCGGGGAGGAGGGCAGUCAAGAAUGAUAGCUCUCGAGCUGCUGCCAUAGACCAUAAACGGCGCUCCUCGCCUGCUAUGAUCAGAGCGCCAGCAAGGUUUGGAGCUGCUCCAUCAAAGACACACCCAUUGCGAUGGUUCCAUAUAGUCCAAGCUCCGAGCAUAACAAGAGAAUUAAUUCCUUGCCUUGUCAGCCCAUCAGCAGUGCUGCUAGCCUUCUCCCACCAAGCAUGGAAGGAUAAUUCUGUAAGCUGAGGGGACAAAAGCCUGAUUGAACCAAAAUUCUCUUGUGAACACACAAUGGACAAGUAGAUGGUCGAUAGUCUCCUUUUCAUGGUCACAAAGGAGGCAAUUCUCCGGAUGAGGUAACCCUCGGCGUGCUAGACGAUCAGCUGUCCAGCACUUAUUGUGCGACCAGCCACAUAAAGAAACGGCAUUUGGGCAGCACCCAUGAUUUCCAAAUCUUUUCCCAUGGUCCAAAAAGAGUAGAUCCGAAAAAGAAGCCUUCAUAUGCCGAUUUAGCCAAGUAUUGUCCAUUAGAGGAGAGCCUCCAUAGGUGCUGCAGCUGAAAAUCCAGAAGUAGAUCCCACCAUAAGUGAAAGUAGUCAACAAACCCACCAACUGUGAGCGCUCCUUGUAUGUCCAAAAUCCAAGCCCGGUUAGUAAGGGCAUCCUGGACAGUAUGCUGCUUAACCCUCCUUUUAGGAGUAGCCACAAAAAGUCGAGGGGCAAGAUCUGCAAUGCAUUGCCCAUUGAUCCGAUCUGUCCAGAAAAGAGUGUUUGCACCAUCCAAUUUCAGAAGUUACUGCCACUGAGUAGAAGGCUCUUACUUGCUUCGGCACAUGGAAUGGUAGAGCAGCCCAAGGACAAUGAGGUUCUGUUUUCUGCAGCCAAACCCAUCUCGUGCGCAAGGACCAGCCAAGGGUUUUUAAAUCUGAAAUUCCCAGGCCUCCAAGCUCUGGUGGGCCACAGACUUUGACCCAAGCCACAAGACAAUGACCACCUUUUUGCAUAUUUUCGACCCCUCCAAAGAAAGCCACGCCAAAUUUUAUUUACCACUUUGAUAGCCAUGGAGGAAAGUCGAAAGCAAUAGCUAAGUAAAUGAGCAUUCUCAGUGAGAACUGAUUGUACUUGAACCCUUCUUCCAGCCCUUGUCAUUAGGUCUGCCUUCCAGCCAGGAAGUUGAUCUGCAGUACGAUCAAUAAUAGGCUGCACUUGUUUCUUUAGGGAGAGGGGCAGACCUAAGUAUUUGCAUGGGAAAUCCGAGAGGGGCACACCUAGCUAGUUUCUUUGGCUACUGUUAUCCUUUAGGUAUUUUGCAGAACCUUUCCAUAGCAAUCCCAUUAAUCUUUAGGAAGCGAUCCCAUUUGUUAAAGCCCCUGCAGGCAACUUUCAAGUUCAUUAUUCUCGAUCACAGGUAGUCAUUCUGCAUAUUUUUCCCUCAGAAUCAUCAUAAGAAUUGGGUUAAGUGGAUAGGUCAGACUAUAGCAUGGAAAUACAUAAGUACUGAUAGGUUGUUGAAACUAUCUAAGACUACAGAUUUAUCGUGUCAAUUUGUCACAAAUAACAGAUUUUAGCUGAUGAAAUCAGUACUUCUGCAGUACAUAGAAAUACUAAAUGUGUAGUUUUAGUUUUGCAAAAACAAGGACACUAAAUUUAUAAUUCUGUGAUAAAACUUCUUAAAUCUGUAGUUUUGUGAUAGCAUAGCCCACUCACACAUAUACAAAAAAAAAGAAAAAGAAAAAAAGGAACCAUAUAGUUAUUUAUGUGCUUAGAUUCUAGGCCCUAGAACUAGAACCUAUAGCUGUGUUACACUAUUAUGAAUUCCUAGUCCGUGCCUGCUUGUGCAGGACACUUUUCUACUUGAUCAGCUAAAGUCAGCACCUGAGUCUUUUAACAGGAUAUGAUCGAGAAUGUCCUGGAAAUUAAAGAUACACAGGUGAGGGAAGUAAUGACGCCUUUGGUGGACGUAGUUGCAAUUGAUGCUAUUGCAACACUUAUUGAUUUCAAAAACUUGUGGGAAACUCAUCAGUACUCUAGGUAUUGUCAACUAUUAUUGUCGCGUGUAUUUUCAAGUCUUAUCACUGACAUCUGCUGCUAUUUGUUAUUUCCAGAGUUCCUGUAUUUGAGGAGCGCAUAGAUAAUAUUGUUGGAAUUGCAUAUGCAAUGGACAUGCUUGAAUAUGUUGAAGAGGUAUGUCUCUUGUUUACCAUUUAAUGUAAAACUUAAUCACAGUGAGUCUUAUUUGCUCCACAUGAUGCUUCUCUAAAGGGAAAGUAAAAGGUGUAUUUUUCUUUUGAAGGUUGAGAAGCUGAAUGAAAUCACUGUUAAGAAAAUCGCACAUAUGCCUACAUACUUUGUUCCAGGUAAUUUUUAGUAACAUUGUUGGAUACAAGUAUCAUGAUGAACUAAAAGAAGGCAUCUGUCAGUAGUUAUAGGGUUGGAUGUUUUUCCACAACAAUUAAUCAUUUCUGCCACAUGUUUUCUCCCAUCUAUGCAUCAUGGAUGUAACAUAUGAUACUGUUUCAUCUGGCAGAUUCAAUGUCUGUUUGGAACCUAUUAAGAGAGUUCCGGAUCAGGCAGGUUCAUAUGGCAGUGGUCCUUAAUGAAUAUGGUGGAACUAUUGGUGUAUGUCCCUAUGAAACCCAUUUUUUAUACUUUACAAACUGGACACAGUUUAGUACUUGUUAAUAUUCUUGUUAUGCUUUCAUCCAAGGCUAGUUGCUCAAUUGAGACCAUUUUGACUUAUGGCACACAACGAGGUUCAACAUUGUUUACUCCAAUCAAUUUUUAGUUGUAACUUCCAAGCAUGCUAGUUAGUUUGCUAAUAAUUGAUGAAUGCUAGUCAGUACAUGGUGACAUUUUGAUGGCCAUUUAUUGGCAACACUACUGGCUUUUGUUCCACAAUGGUCGUGUUUUUAGCACAAGCAUGUGGUGCGAUGCUUCAAGUGAUCUUGCUGCACAGCUUAUGUAACUGCAGCAAUGGGGCACUUUUCAUCUGUUGCAGUAGCAGUCCCUGUUGUUCAUGGUUUGUUUCCUUUUAAGAUAUACCCCACACAUAGAGAUUAGUUAUGCUCCAUGCAGCAGAGAUUAUUACUUUCCACAAGUUUAGAGAUUGUUUCUUAGGAAGUAGUUAUGCUCACAGUUUGUUCAUCAGUUUCUGUUUUCAGAAGUAGUUGAUGAGCGAUGAACAUGUUUUGAUUAUGUUUGCUGCUGAAAGGAUAAUUCUUUAAGAUGUUUUUCUCAUUACUGAUGCUCAUUGGUAAAAGUUGCAAAUGAUUGGACAAAGCUACUACCCGUGAGCUUCCUUUGUCUCACAUACCCUUCGAGCAAUUACGCUUUAAUGUAGCAAUAUCUAUCCAUUACUUGCAGCAACUAAGUCCUAUUGUAUUCAGAAAUGUUUAUUAGAACAGUUUGUAAUUUCAUAUGUUUAUCACUGCAUGGGACAUUGGGAAUUACUCUGACCUUUGGCCAAAAAAAAAUGCAGAUUGUAACACUAGAAGAUGUAGUGGAAGAAAUAGUUGGUGAAAUAUUUGACGAGAAUGAUUCCAAGGUGAUUAUUUCUGGAAUUUUUUAUUUCAAAUCGCAAGUGGGUGUUCAGUGCCAUACAUAUGCAUGCUAUUAUUUUCUAUUUCUUUUUCAAAAUUAUUUCCCCCUUUCUUUUGGUUUAUUAUUCCCUUUUUGCCUUGUAACUAUCGUUCUUAUAUUACAUAACUGACUUUUCAUAUGUUGGUAAUAAAUAAUGAUAUGCUAGCAUUUGAACUUACGAAAUUUAGUGGGCCAAACAUACUGAGCCAUGCCAAAAAAGACAGGCAAAUCAUACAGUCAUAUUUUAGCAGCAGCAGUGCAUUAGCGCGGUGGGUACUGAGCCGGAGUUUGCAUGUGCCUGAAGGUGGCUGAAUGAAUAAGGUGGAUAUUACCCUACCCGCACCCAAAUCAAAAUGUGUAUUUUAUUUCUACCCAUACCCUCCCCAAUUAAUGCGGGUGUGGAUUUGAAUAUGGGGAUUGAAUAUCCAGCGGCAGGUAUAAAGAUUAGAUCUCCUGCCUCAGUGCUUCUCCAAGAUCUGGAAGCAGCUGCUUCACUCCUAUUUUCUGUAUCCUAGUCAAAACAAAGGAUUUUUCCAUGUAGCAAGCUAGUUGCUCUUUGUCAUUUGCUUAGGCAGUCUCUCAAUUCCUUCUGCUACUCUGUUUUUCACCCUUUCAGGAGGAAAUCCAGAAGAAAACAGGCUAUAUAGUGAGGCGGGGAGAUGGAACAUUUGAUGUUGAUGCAAAUACAUCAAUAGAUCACCUCUCUGAAGAGCUUGGUAUCAAAAUACCAGAGGUAUUGUUUCUCAUUUGAUCUUAGCUUUCUCUACAGUUGCUAUGCAUUCCCUUGGACAUGUGUAUAUUUAAGGAAGGUAUGGCUCGGAAAAUAGUAGAUUGAUUAUGAGUAGUACAAAAGGGUAGGCAAGGAUGAUCUGGGAUUUAUAGAACAAUACCCAAUCAGGGAGAUCCUUGCCUAAUAGCUAAUCAACUACAUAAAACCCAUGGAGGCAGGCUUAGGUGCCAGGGCCCAUGCGGCCAGCCCAAUAGCCCUCUGGAAACUCCAUUCUAACAUAUAUGUUGGAGUGGACACUGUAUGAUGAUCAUCGAAAUGUGAGUUCCAUCAUUUAGAGAUGCCUGGUUUGCAGAACCUAUACAGAUAUAACGUUAUUAUAUCUAUUUUUUGGUGGAAACUGGACAUUUAAUAUUUAGGUCAACAAAAUAUUCACAAAUGUUCUGUUUGUAAAAUAUGCCCUUGGUAGUCAUCAUUUAUAUGGUGCUCUGUAUUUCUGUCAUGUUUCUCGUAGAUUGGCUGAUAAUCUUGAGACACUUGGACACUAUCUUUUGGCAGGGGCAUCAGUAUGAGACGGUGUCUGGUUUUGUCUGUGCAUCUUUUGGCUAUAUUCCAGAAGAAGGUGGGAAAAUGCUUGUGAUUCUUGAAAAGGAUUACAGAGAAGAAAACGGUGAAUAUCAGGAGGAAGGUUCUGAUCGCCAAGAUGAUAGAGAAAAAACUCAAGCUUACGAACUUGAGGUAAUUGUUACAACUCCUUGUGUACUCUGUUUGCUCAAGAGUUCUAGUACCAGGUCAAUUAUUAUAAUGCGAUUAUCUUGUCAUCGCUAGAAAUCUUUACUAGUAUAUAUAACUAUUAUGAAUUUUCCUUCAUUACUUGAAAGCUGAAAGACACCACAAAAGCUUCAAUUUUCUUUGUUGAUGCAAUACCAUGAAACCUUUUUUGUUAAAUAACUCUCAUUAGAACCAAUUUUCCAUACAGGGCAUUUGGUUCUUAGAUCAUUUUAUAGGAUAUUUCGUACUAUAAGUAAGAACCAACUACUAUCCACAAUUACCUCUACAUGCUUGUUUGUGCAUAUAAAAAGACAACAAUACUCAGAAGGUUGCUGUAACAUGUCCACACUCCGCUUUUGUGGUGCUAAUACUACCGAACAUUUGUAAUUGCUUUUUUUAUUUGAAGCUAAAAAAAGAAAGUAUACAAAAACUAAUAGAUAAGAAAACCAACUACUCAAUUGUCAAUUCAGAAUUCAUACUGUGGGUUAUAAGGUUAUUUCAGUGAAAUUGUUUUGGUAUUGGUACACAACCUUUAUUAGUUGGUGCAACUCCCAUUUCCGGAAGUCUUCGUACACUUUAAUUGAAUUGCUGCAGCCCUAGGAAUCCAUAGUUUCUGUUUCACAAUUCACCCAAAGUUUCAUUCUUUGUUGCAGAAUUAAAUAACCUUCUGUAGUUGUUUUCACUACCUUUAUUACCUGGCUUCUCUUGCUCACAGAUAGUGGAAGCUAAUGCAAGGAAGGUGGGCAAAGUCCUAUUUAAGCCAAUAAGCAGUGAAUGUGUUGGUGUUGACAACAAGGGUGUGAACCGCCUGGUCUCCAAGAAGAUCAUCAAACGGAAGAAGCAGGGCUAUGAUGAUUCCUCCGGUGACGAGUAUCCAGAUACAACAGAGAAUGGCUGCCCUGCUGAGGCACUCUCCUACUCGGAUGGUAACAGUGCCUUGUUGGAAGAUGCAAGCAGUUCUAGUGCCAAGAGGUGACAAUAAAGGAACUCCAAGACCAUCGUACUACUGGUAAUAAUUACAGCACACCGUCACCGGUCCUAAUACCCCUUGUUACAACAGAAGAAGAUGAGAAGAACAUAGUAGUAGGCUACCCAAAAAAAAAAACUGCGAGAGCAACACCAAGAGGUUAACAGCAGUUUAAGGCAUUGCAACAUUUUUCAGUAGCAGGAGUAGCAGUAGUAGCAGUCUAGAGGUGCAGCGAGGUGUCGACGUCGACUUCACCAGAGACAUGUUUGUAGUUGUAGGUCUUACUGGGCCACAGCUCCACCGCAAUGGGGUCGCUAUCGCCGUGGAGCUGGAAGCUUUUGCAUUCACAGACAGUGGUUGGCACGGCCGGGAAUAAGGAGGCUGCGGCGGCAACAGCGGCAGUGGUUUCCCGCAGCGGCCUGCACGGGUAGAGCAGCUCCGGGUGGAAGAACCACUUGACGGGCAUCUCCCUCGGGGAGGCGGUGGCCGCAGGGCGGGGGGCGAGCACGUGGAGAAGCCUCUCCUCCCGCUUCUCCCUGAUCCUCUCCAGCUCCCUGAACCUCUGCUGCAGCAGGGCGAUGGAGGAGAACAUCACCUGGCCUUCGCUGCUCUGCACCCCCAUGAUGACUGGGCGAGAGGGGGAGCUCUCACUCCAGCUCCGAGUUUCAGUUACGUGUUCGUGUCGUGUGUAUCUCACUCAAGCGUCUGUCUACUUCGCUCGGUGUGUGUGGGGGUUUUGCUUGCUGCUUGAAGGGGUGGUGGUCUUGGGCAUGUGCGUAUUUAUAAGCCGCAAAGUUUUGUCACGGCGCAGGGCGUCGUCUUGUGGUCGUCUUGCAAGUUGCGCCAAUUCUUUCAUCUUCAUCUUCCAUUAUGUGAUGCUAUGCCUGUUUGUGUGUUUUGUUUAUGGGCUGAUUGAAAAACAAAAGAGGCACUAUUGGUAUGAGAGAGAAUCUGGGAGGAGAAUGUCACGUCGCCCGAGAAAGGAAGUGGGAGGCGUGCAGGUGAGAGAAUAAGGGGCGUGGCGUGGGAGAGUCCAAGGAAAUGGGGCUGUGGACGCUUGCGCUUGUUCCGUUCCUGGCGGUGGGAAUCGCCGUGUGCCGUUGUGAUGUGCGGGGUGGCCAUGAUUGCGCCUCUGUUUGUCUGUCACCUUUUUCCCUUGCGCAUUGCUGCAGCAGCAGGGCAGGGGAGAGGUCUGCAUGCCCUGCCAUGCCCUGCCCUGCUGCUCGUACUAGCUCGCUACUACUCCCUUCCCCCUCUCCAUCCAAACGGGCACUGCGAGCUUUUCCUGGUCUAUAAUGGCGUCGUUGGAGCUGUAGUACGUGCUGUUCGUAGCAACUGUGGGCAGCGCUUUCAGGUGUGGAACUGUGCACUCCAUGAGCCAUUGUCUUCGUUUGCGUGUGUGAACGUGUUGGAGAGUCUGGGAGCAGAAAGUCUGCGUUGAACGUUACUUCUUUGGGUCUUUGACUGGUGCGUCCAUAGAUCUGUGAAUGGGAGCGCUGAUUGCACGCUGCGUAGUACAGUGCGUUCGAGUAACGCUGAGACGGCGUGCUGCUUUGAAGUUUCAACUUUUGGUUAAUUCAGGAAAGUUGAUUGAUCUUAUGUUUUUUGACGGCCAGGUAAACACGGCCAAUUGCACCGGCGUCAAAAAGACCUCUGUCAUCCGAUGCUUUGGACAGUAAUUGAGAUAUUCGUAACAAAUGCUUCACUACCCGAAGAGAAAACUAGUUUUCGUUGGUUUCCGCAUUUUGUGAAAAUAAGAAAGGGCAUGUUUGAGUCAGAGUCGGGUUAUUAUAAUUGGAUUAUCGACUCUAAUAAUUAGAGUGCUAGAUUUUUUGUGGUGGAACCUAUCCAUUUCUUGCCUAGCCAGCCAACUAUCAUGAUGCUACAUGGUAUUUAAGUAACGACCAUUUUCUCAAAUGGUCAAGGAUUAUAUUCUUCUUUGAUUUUUUUUUCCCUUCAAGUGGCCUAGGGUUUUGUAGUCUAAUGUGAACAAUAUCAGGUGAAAACAAAAUAGCAUCAAAGAAUAGAUAGCCAAAAUGCCUAACGAAAAGGAAAAUUGUGGGUUACAUGUCUCAUGAAUUAUUUGAUGAAGUAGAAUAAGAUACGUUCGGUUAUUUGAGAGAAAAAAAAACUGCACAACAUAAAAAAAUAACUGUUUGCCUAGUUGGCUAAGAAAAAAUAUAGUGGGCUCCAUGGCUCCUAAGACUCUUUAAAUAUCAUGUAAAUGGAUAUAAAAGAAGUCAAUAAAUCAUUCUGCUGAUAUUGACUGAAUUAUUUGCUAUCAACAAUUAUCCAAAAAAGAUUUCUUUAAGAAUAAUAUUUCUACCAUGUAAAACAAGAAGAAAAAGACAAAUUAAUCGGAACUUUUGUUUGUGGCUGGAACUAUUGUAAAUGUCAUUGUUGAGUUGAGAUAUUUUUUUUUUGAAGUUCCCUUUUUGCGAGGAAUGAGUAAUCUGAACGUUAUUUGUUUGUGGUUGUUGAUUCCCUGGAGCUGUUAUAGAAGUCAUUAUUGAGUAGAGAUUUUUUGAAGUUCCUUUUUGCAACGAAUGAGUAAAUAGUUGCAUAGAUGUUUGAUGGUAUUAGCAUACUCUGCUUCUAAAAUAAUGAAAGGGAUUUUCCGUUACUAUUUAGUUGUGGACUGAGGCCUGAAGAAGUAUGUUUUGAAACUCGGAAUUUCAUGGAGGAUUUGUAGGAAUCCCAUAUAUAAUAAACAUGUCAAAAUUAAUCCUCCUAUAUUUUCUUGGUCAUUUUCUAGAGCUAGGCUCAUUUAUCUUUAAUUUGUCUAGUGAAGAGUAUAUGUAUAUCCUUUGCUCCAAACAUGUAGUGGUGAGUGGAGUUUACUAAUAUUAUUAUGUGUAGUUAACCUAGAACUAGAAGCUUGGUAACUGAGCCUUAUCUAAUCUGGCCCUAAACUAACUUAUCAUCCAAACUGAUCAGUUGGAGUCUUGUGACGAUGAUAUCUCUGGUUUGUUGUGGAACGGGACUAGUACUGCCGGACAUAUUAUACAUUGGAUGCAUGCGACAUAUAUACAGUGUUGAACUUGUUUAUAUUAAUUUAUCCUGGAUAGCCAAUAGUAGCCCAUAACAUUAACAUGCAACAUAGUAUAUGCAUUUGCAUGUACUGCUAGUUCCCUGCUACGUACGAUCCUGACAGUAGGCACCUAAUCUUUCCAUGCCCCAAUAUUUUACCGCCGCUGUCGCUUCCAUUCUAGAGAGAGAACAAUAUGACCAUCUUGUAAAACAUUCUAGAGAAGAGAUGCAUGGAGAGUAUGGCAAUAAUUUAAGCAGAUUGAUGGGAGCGAGAUAUUUUUAAAGGCAGAUCAUCGAUUGAUGCAUGGGAGCGAGAGAGCUUAGCAGAGAAAAUAAAGAAGAUUGGUGAUUGGUGAUAGGCCGGGGCAGCCGUGGUGCAGCAGCAGCUAGAACUAGAGAAGCUAAAAGGAAGGCUGAUGGCAGGGCAGGGCAGUAGUUUAAGGACGGGUCCAUGCCUGCAGCUAGCUAGCAUCUAUCGACGUUCCUCCGUUGUCGCGGAGCCGGUGGACGCGAAUGGCAUGCGUGGGUGCACUACCCUGCUGAUGCACACAGCAUGCAUUGCUGCCUGCAUGCGACAUGGUAUACAGCUCCCGGCCGGCGUCUCUCCUCUCCUCUCUUCUCUUCUCUUGUCCAUCCAUCGGCAGCAUACGGUCGGUCACUCGCAGCAUGCAUGCUCCUCUGAUCGAGCUCUGCUGGUGUCGUGUCGUGUCGUCGAUGGAUCGGGGCCGGGUUGGGUGUUGCUGCAUUGCAUGCUCCCUAAAGCGCCGCCCUUGUUGCCAAAGUGAAUGCUGCCGACGACGACCGCCGCGCCGCCCGUCUUCUUUUUCGGCGGAGGGGGGCGGCCGGGCACGGGCACGGGCACGGCACAGUCUUCCGGGCAGGGGCAGGGGCAGCCGGGCAAGCCAACACCUGCUAGCGGACGAGAAAUUGAAUCGAAUGGGAAACAAAGAAAAAAUUGAUGGCUGAUGGCUCCAUCUUUCUUUCUGUCUGUCUGUCUGUCGGUCAGUCAUUUUACUAAUUUAUUUGACUGCGCUACGGAGACGACAGUGUAACAUUUUUAUUUGUAUUUAAUAAUUAUUAUUUAACUAUAGACUAAUUAGGCUCAAAAGAUUCGUCGCGUAAACUAUAGACAAACUGUGCAAUUAGUUUUUAUUUUCGUCUAUAUUUAGUACUUUAUACAUGUGCCACAAGAUUUGAUAUGACGGGAAAUUUUAAAAAGUUUUUGAAUUUCGAAGUGAACUGGUCAAAUAUGCAAUGCUUGUACGUGCGCACUAGUUUAUGCCAAUGAUUCAUUUUUCGCGGAUCCUCCGAAUUUCACACCAUACAGUCAGAAUAUAAUUGCUCCAAGACACGUCAAUUUUGAUGCGUCAAUUUGUGCAUGUGGUUCCUGGCACUACUGGAUCCGGCUUCUUUGCCGAGAGCCGCGAGCCCUCGGCAAAUGCCUAAAAGCCCUCGGCAAAGGCUUUGCCGAGGGCCAUAAACGCCCUCGGCAAAGCCUACGGCGCCGUCGAAAAACGUCAAUAUUGACGUCGUCUUUGCCGAGAGCCAUGCUGGCAGGCUCUCGGCAAAGAUUCUUUAUUUUUUUUAAAAAAAGCCUUUGCCGAGAGCCCUGCAGGAAGGCUCUCGGCAAAGAACCCCUUUGCCGAGAGCCAGACAUCCAGGCUCUCGGCAAAGAACCCCUUUGCCGAGAGCCAGACAUCCAGGCUCUCGGCAAAGCUGUAGUUCUUCUGAACCCGGCUUUCUAUCUUUGCCGAGUGCCAGCCAUCCAUGCUCUCGGCAAAGCUGAGAAUUUAGUUUUUUUUUCUGUUUUUUAUCUGUUUUUUACAUGCACAGCCACAUAUGUAUAUAUAUAUAUCACAAAUCCCUUUGUCUAUAUCACAAUCCACAUAUAUAUCACGCAUGAAACAUAUCGAAGUCCACAGAUAUCACAAAUCCACAUAGAUAUGACAAAUAUAACAUUACGUCCAACAUAAACCAUAAGUCACCACAAGUUCAUAACAUAAACCACAAGUCCACGUGAAUAUCACUCCUCGAAGUCGCUAGCGCCUCACCCCUAGUGCUGUGACUCUGACCUGUCGUCGCCGUGGCCUCCGUCGUGUCCCGAGCCUCCAUCUGGCCAAGCCGACCAGGGUGAGUGCCCCCCAGGGUGUGUAGAGCUCGCACCUGCCCACGGCGCCCACAUGGCCUGCCCUGGCACCGACGGGUACGGGUACGAGUACCCGGGGCGCGGAGGAGGGCUGCCGGACAACCCGGGGUGGCCGUGCUGCGGAUGGGCACCAGGCCACGUGUGCUGCGUACUUGGGUGGCCAUAAGUAGUAACCUGCCACCCACUCCUUGGAGAAGGGGUCGGGUUCGAACCCCACGACUGAUGCUACAUAAUAUAAAAGCGAACUCAUUAGUAUCUGCAGGACGGCCACACAAGCCAAAGCAAUAGACAAACAUAUAUACACUCACCGGACUGCCUGCAGGGGCAGGAACAGGGGGUGGAACAGGGGGUGGAGCGAAGAGCGAGGCAGGCAGCGGAGGCGCUGUAGAGCUGUGGAUGGACUGGAAGUAUCCGACUAGGUCCGAGAUCUGACGCUGCGUGUGCUGCUGCUGUGCCUCCAUGUGGCGCCGAUGGGCCUCGUCUCUGGCCGCCAGCGCGGCCGCCAGCUCUCGCCGAUGAGCCUCCUGCAGCUCGUCCUGCCUGGCCCGCAACUCCUCUAGCUGCGACUGCAAUAUUACACCCGCAAUGGUUAAACAAUGCAAAAGGAGAUGUAUAUAUGUAAAAAUAAUGGACGAUGGAUAAAGCUGUAGUUACCUGCAUCGUAGCUAUCUGCUGCACGGAGCUCGGCUGACGAGGCCGUAUGGGGACGUCGGAGGUCGAGCUGCUCCCCUGCCGAACCUCGCGGAGCGUGGGUACGGUGGCCGGGUUGAUUGCGCUGUGGGCAAUCAUGUACCGGCCGUGCUGCUUCCCUCCUCCCGUCCUCAUGAGCAAGUCCGUGUCCGAGACCCUUUGCCGUGGGCCGUCCAGUCUGGCUCUCGGCAAAGACCCUUUGCCGUGAGCCUAACGCGCAGGCUCUCGGCAAAGAACUGCUGACUUUUUUUAUUCUUUUUGAAUUUAGAGCUGAGUUUUUUUUUUUGUCCUUGUGACUCAAUUUCUAAAUACAUUUUAAAAUUUGGCAUUAAUUUGACUUUUUUUGCUAUAUUUAACUAAUUAAUCUUGUUUCUUUAUAUUUUUUCACAUAAUUCAAAUUUCAACUGUAGGUACAUGAAAUAUUACAACUCAAUGAUUCGAAAAAUGAUAGUCAAGAUAUUUGGUGUACGUUGAGGUCGUAACCACAACCACACAUGAAAUCUCAACCCUCUCGCUAACAUAACAUGUCAAGGAAUGUGAGGGAAAAUGGAUUUAUAAUUAUAUAAAUUUCAAAUAAACUCCAAAAAUCACGAAACUUGGCGACGUGUCGUGUUAUCGCAUGUGGAGGCUGUGGUAAAAAAUUCAUAAGGUUCCGAGCAAGUUGCGACACCGGAUGUCUAAAACCCAGACAUCUCCACAUGUUAUCGAAUGUGAUCACAUGCGGAGAUGUCUGGGUUUUAGACAUCUCGUGUCGCAACUUACUCGAAACCUUAUGAUUUUUUUACCACAGUCUCCACAUGCCAUAACAUGACACAUCGUCAAGUUUCGUGAUUUUUGGACUUCAUUUGGAAUUUAUAUAAUUAAAAAUCACUUGUACGACACAUGGAUGGUCAUGUUUUAUAUACAAGAAAUUCAAACUCUUGGGUGAGUUUAUGGAUACAACAUCAAAAUGCAGUCUUGAACAUGAGUAUAAUUUUUUGAAUGACUAUAUUUUAUUAUUUCAUGCUCCUACAGUUCAAAAUUACUUUUUCGAGAAAAAUACAAAUAAAAUAAUUUAAUUAAAAAAUAUAGCAAAAUGUUAUAAAAAGCUCUCAAAUUUGAACAUGUGCUUAUAUACAAUAUGUAAGGGUUACAGAAAAAGUUUGAGUACAAAACUAAAAAAAAUCUUUCUUCUUUGCCGAGAGCUUGACAAGGCACUUGGCAAAGGCCUCCUCUUUGCCGAGAGCCUAACGCCGUGGCUCUCGGCAAAGGUGACGACAACGGUUGCCGUUACCAGCGCUGCUCCUUUGCCGAGAGCCUAUCUUUGCCGAGAGCUAGGCUGUCGGCAAAGCUAGCCUUUGCCGAGGGCUUGCCUUUGCCGAGAGCUUGACCAUCGGUAAAGUUUCUUUGCCGAGGGUCGUUUCUGACUGUCGGCAAAGGCAGUCUUUGCCGAGGGCUAGCUCUCGGCAAAGCUGAGCCCUCGGCAAAGCUCUCGUUUCCUGUAGUGUGGGCUUUGAAUUGAUCGAUGGCAAAAAGCCGUAAUGGAAGCACGUCGCGUCUUGAAUGCAUGCACUAUAUAGGAAUAUAGCUACACAAAAGAAGAGAAAUAAUGACACACAUAGUAGUAGCUAGCUAGUAAAGUGUGUAUGUAAGGCCUUGUUUAGUUCCCAGAAAAUUUUGCAAAAUUUUUCACGGUCCCCGUCACAUCGAAUCUUUAAACGCAUACAUAAAGUAUUAAAUAUAGACGAAAAUAAAAACUAAUUGCACAGUUUGGUCGAAAUAGACGAAACGAAUCUUUUGAGCCUAGUUAGUCCAUGAUUGGAUAAUAUUUGUCAAAUACAAACGAAAGUGCUACAGUGUCGAUUUUGCAAAAUUUUUCGGAACUAAACAAGGCCUAAACCUAAAAGCCCAUGCAUUAUUGCUUUUUAAAAAGUUAAAGCGGUGAUGGAUGGUUUUGUUCAUGGCUCGAGGAGGAUGUGUCCUAGCUAGUUGUUGGUGGGGGAGGUGAGAGUACCUAGGAAAAUUUGCUUACAUUUUCCUGUACAUGCAUGCAUGCAACGCUAAUUGGAUGGAUAUGGUCGGAACAUGCAUGGGUCCACCAUUCACAUCUCUUGGUCCUACACGCACGCCUACUAUUGUGAUGCGUCUCAGCUUUUUAAUGUGCCUGCGUUGCAUGCAUGCAGCUGGGUACGUAAGGACACGCCGCAAGCUGCCCAAACUCUAGCUCUGCUUCCCGCAUUGCAUUGCAUUGUAUCUACCUCGUGGCGCAUUAGGGUUAGAGAGAGAGAGAGAGAGAGAGAGAGAGAGAGAGAGAGAGAGAGAGAGAGAGAGAGAGAGAAGUGUGGUAUAGCUAGCAUGCAUCCAUAUAUAUCCGAUCGACCUGUAGUUCAUGGCACAUUCAUUAGGUUUGGAAGAGUGAGAUCGAGGCAGGACGAUAUGUAGUACGUCGUCGUCCUUCGUAUAAACGGACAUUCGCUCAAUGUUGAAUUGUUGACAGACGACGAUGCGCGCGGCACUUUGUUUGACCAUGCAUGCAUUCAUCCGUGCAUGCAUGGAGCGUCUAUGUGCUUGUCCCUGAAUAAACUAAUUAAUCACUGCACGAACUCGAUCGCCUUGCUGUCAACUUAGCUUAGCUUAUUACAAGUGUGUUAACGACAAGCAAUCAUGGAAAUGAGCUGCAUAUAGACACUGUUCACAAUGCACGUUAUGUUGGAGCACUAGCUAUAGCUAAUUAAUGAGCCAGCAAUUAACAAAACGCCUGCUAAACCAAAAUAUGCAUUUAAGCCAUGUUUCGUUUCCUCCGGUAAAGUUUAACUCCUGUCAUAUCGAGUGUUUGGACACAUGCAUUAAAUAUUAAAUAUAAAUUAUUUACAAAACUAAAAUAAAACUAGAGAGUAAUUUGCGAAAUAAAUCUUUUAAAUCUAGUUAGUCUAUAAUUAGAUACUAAUUGUCAAAUAAAACAGAAAUAUGCUAUAUGCUACAGUACAUCCUUAACCGGCAAGUACAGGCCGGGUGAGGCAUGUCGGAUGCUAGAGAUGGCCAAAUGGGCUAAGCCCAAUAAUACGCAGCCUAAGCACAUAUGGGCCUACUAAAGCAUCGCAUUACAUUAUGGGUCGAGCCACUAUGUGUCUCGUGCCCUUUUUUACCAUUCAAAAUGGGUGCUCUCAGGAUGGAUCAUAAUUAUGCCCCUUUUUAAUUCGAGAGCAAUGUUGAUCAAAUUUCGUCGUAGUUGCAGCACAGCCAAAAAAAAAAACUAACAAAAAGAGCCUGUCAGACAACCCAUGGGCCAUCCCAGCCAGGCAAGCCUGGCCGGAAACGAUCAUCUACAGCACCGGACAAAGCGUCAGAGCCAAUCCUGGCCGUUAAUCACGCUCUGGCCCACAGGUCAUGGCUCAUCAACCAGGCUUAAGUGCUUGCCUCCUUAUUAAUCAAGGAUGCAGCGGUACGAUCCUAUAGAACAGAUCCUGUUCAAGUAAGGUCGU
RNAcentral lists this long non-coding RNA (26306 nucleotides) under Sorghum bicolor (sorghum). Its description in RNAcentral is "long non-coding RNA (SBIC_LNC000284)". The record is from RNAcentral. Lineage: Eukaryota; Viridiplantae; Streptophyta; Magnoliopsida; Poales; Poaceae.